GACUUAUGAAUUAAACGCAAUCAUUCAUAUCUAUCGAAUCGCUCGGAUAUGUCACAACAACGAUCUGAUCAAAAUACAAUAAAAAAAGAAAUUCCGUCAAUUUAUUUAUCAUUUACUCAUUCAAUAAAAUCGUACAAUUCCCACGAAUGUAACUACUUAUGUCGAAGCUUACAAAGAGGGCCGUCUUACCGCUAACAAUACAAAGUACGCGUGCGCCGCCGGUGCGGUACGGGCGCGGUAUCGGCGCGGGCCGACCUACGGGCGCCGCGGGGACGGGCCGCUAGUAGCGGCGCCGCCCGUCCCGCGCGCGCGCCGCCCCGCCGCCGCUACAACAUCACGCCACGCGCGUCAGACGCUGCCGCCCGACAGCGAGCAAACAAUAUAGAGCCAACUAGUAAAAUGAUUCAAACCUUGCUCGCAACGAGUCCGAUUCGUUAUUAGCUGCAUUGCAAAAUUAGUUCUGUUUUAAUCUGUUGUUCAUUAACAUUAUUAGAAUAUGGAUGUCGAUGGUGUCGAACGGUUAGUAGACGCACCGGUGGUUUCGAACGAAAAGAAUGAGUCACA
Long non-coding RNA from Vanessa tameamea, 564 nucleotides. RefSeq lists it as uncharacterized. The record is from RefSeq and is a predicted model, not a curated record. Lineage: Eukaryota; Metazoa; Arthropoda; Insecta; Lepidoptera; Nymphalidae. The transcript is spliced from 2 exons.